This 197-nucleotide long non-coding RNA is filed under the name Monodelphis domestica (gray short-tailed opossum). RNAcentral describes it as "lncRNA (ENSMODG00000042108.1)". Lineage: Eukaryota; Metazoa; Chordata; Mammalia; Didelphimorphia; Didelphidae. The record is from RNAcentral.
CUUGUUCAGCCCAGUCUGGAGUGGCAUGCUCUUCUUGGGUCAGCUGGAAGAUUCAGGCCCAGUCGCUUCUGAAGGUACAGGAAACUAAAAUUGAGCAAAGAAUAGUGUUUGAAACCAGCUGGAGUCCAGCCAGACUCUACUCAACUGCUAAUCUGUACUGCUCCCCUAGCAUUCUUCUAGUGAGCAAAACAAAAUGA